UACGUAGGGUGCAAGCGUUAAUCGGAAUUACUGGGCGUAAAGCGUGCGCAGGCGGUUUUGUAAGACAGUGGUGAAAUCCCCGGGCUCAACCUGGGAACUUCCUUUGUGACUGCAAGGCUAGAGUACGGCAGAGGAGGGGUGGAAUUCCGCGUGUAGCAGUGAAAUGCGUAGAUAUGCGGAGGAACACCGAUGGCGAAGGCAACCCCCUGGGCCUGUACUGACGCUCAUGCACGAAAGCGUGGGGAGCAAACAGG
This 254-nucleotide ribosomal RNA is filed under the name uncultured Comamonas sp. Its description in RNAcentral is "partial 16S ribosomal RNA". It matches the Rfam family "Bacterial small subunit ribosomal RNA", at positions 524 to 776 of the family's 1533-position model. The record is from RNAcentral. Lineage: Bacteria; Pseudomonadati; Pseudomonadota; Betaproteobacteria; Burkholderiales; Comamonadaceae.